GUGGGGAAUAUUGGACAAUGGGGGGAACCCUGAUCCAGCCAUGCCGCGUGUGUGAAGAAGGCCUUUUGGUUGUAAAGCACUUUAAGCGAGGAGGAGGCUACCGAGAUUAAUACUCUUGGAUAGUGGACGUUACUCGCAGAAUAAGCACCGGCUAACUCUGUGCCAGCAGCCGCGGUAAUACAGAGGGUGCAAGCGUUAAUCGGAUUUACUGGGCGUAAAGCGAGCGUAGGUGGCCAAUUAAGUCAAAUGUGAAAUCACCGAGCUUAACUUGGGAAUUGCAUUCGAUACUGGUUGGCUAGAGUAUUGGAGAGGAUGGUAGAAUUCCAGGUGUAGCGGUGAAAUGCGUAGAGAUCUGGAGGAAUACCGAUGGCGAAGGCAGCCAUCUGGCCUAAUACUGACACUGAGGUGCGAAAGCAUGGGGAGCAAACAGGAUUAGAAACCCGGGUAGUCC
This 451-nucleotide ribosomal RNA is filed under the name uncultured bacterium. Its description in RNAcentral is "partial 16S ribosomal RNA". It matches the Rfam family "Bacterial small subunit ribosomal RNA", at positions 354 to 796 of the family's 1533-position model. The record is from RNAcentral.